Molecule: long non-coding RNA, 724 nt
Filed under: Cucumis sativus (cucumber)
Lineage: Eukaryota; Viridiplantae; Streptophyta; Magnoliopsida; Cucurbitales; Cucurbitaceae
Description: long non-coding RNA (CSAT_LNC000915)
Source: RNAcentral
AGGCUAAAGUACCAUUUCCAGUCUUUUUGAAGUUUGUUCUAUUUGUUCCUAUACUUUUAAUAAAUCUUAUAAAUCAUUUGGCCCCUCAAAGUUAAUUUUGGUAUGGCUAAAUAAUAAGAAUGAUAAUUUUCAAACCAUGUGAAUAUAUUUUCAAAAGUCAGACUAAAAGGGCUAAUAAACAAUAAAGCAGCAAAAAUUUAUUCAGAGUAUUCAAAGACCAAACGGACACAUUAUAACCAAUGAAUAUAUUCUUAGGUUACUUUUGUAGACUGAUCAACUAAUUCAAUAAUAAAGUAAACUAGAAAAGCAAGAUUUAAUAAUAAAUUUUUGGUGCGUGAGAAUCUUUCAAGUUGAACAAUAUCUCUUUUAGUUAUUUAAAUUUAAGAUAUAUACAAGUGUUGUUGAAGUUGUAAUCGAAAGAAAAAAGACUUUAACUUUGCUUCUUCUAUUCUCGAUUCUUUACUUCCUAUGCUUUCAAAUCAAGUCGUGCUCGCAUUGUGUUACUAUCAAAAUUCAAACUAAAUGACAUAAUACAAUAAUGCAGUUUUUAAGUGUGGUUUUAUGUUAUGGUCAGUUUAUAUUUAUGUAAUUCUCUCGUUUUUAUAUUUAUGAAAAUUCUUUAUCUAAUAUUUCGACAUCUCUUAGCAGCGAAAGCCGAAAGGAGACGACAAUGAAGAAGAAAUGAGAUGGAAGUUUUACCUGAUGGAAUAGGUUUGGGUGCCCA